UGAGGAAUAUUGGUCAAUGGACGAGAGUCUGAACCAGCCAAGUAGCGUGAAGGAUGACUGCCCUAUGGGUUGUAAACUUCUUUUAUAUGGGAAUAAAGUUCAGUAUGUAUACUGUUUUGUAUGUACCAUAUGAAUAAGGAUCGGCUAACUCCGUGCCAGCAGCCGCGGUAAUACGGAGGAUCCGAGCGUUAUCCGGAUUUAUUGGGUUUAAAGGGAGCGUAGGCGGACGCUUAAGUCAGUUGUGAAAGUUUGCGGCUCAACCGUAAAAUUGCAGUUGAUACUGGGUGUCUUGAGUGCAGCAGAGGUAGGCGGAAUUCGUGGUGUAGCGGUGAAAUGCUUAGAUAUCACGAAGAACUCCGAUUGCGAAGGCAGCCUGCUGGACUGUAACUGACGCUGAUGCUCGAAAGUGUGGGUAUCAAACAGG
RNAcentral lists this ribosomal RNA (424 nucleotides) under uncultured bacterium. Its description in RNAcentral is "bacterial SSU rRNA". It matches the Rfam family "Bacterial small subunit ribosomal RNA", at positions 355 to 776 of the family's 1533-position model. The record is from RNAcentral.